RNAcentral lists this unclassified non-coding RNA (205 nucleotides) under uncultured Trichoderma. Its description in RNAcentral is "sequence contains ITS1". Lineage: Eukaryota; Fungi; Ascomycota; Sordariomycetes; Hypocreales; Hypocreaceae. The record is from RNAcentral.
CCGAGUUUACAACUCCCAAACCCAAAUGUGAACGCUACCAAACUGUUGCCUCGGCGGGAUCUCUGCCCCGGGCGCGUCGCAGCCCCGGACCAAGGCGCCCGCCGGAGGACCAACCCCAAACUCUCUUCGUAUAAACCCCCUCGCGGGUUCUCUUACUUUCUGAGCCUUUCUCGGCGCCCCUAGCGGGCGUUUCGAAAAUGAAUCA